This is a long non-coding RNA of Thalassophryne amazonica, 524 nucleotides long. RefSeq lists it as uncharacterized. Lineage: Eukaryota; Metazoa; Chordata; Actinopteri; Batrachoidiformes; Batrachoididae. The record is from RefSeq and is a predicted model, not a curated record. The transcript is spliced from 3 exons.
AAUCUUUGACCACACUCAGAACAAACAAAUGGUUUUUGUCCUGUAUGAAUUAUCAUGUGUUUGUUCAGGUUGCUCUUUAGUCCAAAUCUUUGACCACACCCAGAACAGACAAAUGCUUUUUGUCCUGUAUGGAUUAUCAUGUGUCUGCUCAGACUGCUCUUUCGCCCAAAUCUUUGACCACACUCAGAACAGACAAAUGCUUUUUGUCCUGUAUGAAUUAUCAUGUGUUUGUUCAGAGUGCUCUUUUGUCCAAAUCUUUGACCACACUCAGAACAGCCAAAUGCUUUUUGCCCCGUAUGUAUUAUCACGUGUGUGUUCAGGUUGCUCUUUCGUCCAAAUCUUUGACCACAUUCAGAACAGACAAAUAGUUUUUCUUCUGUCUGAAUUCUAAAGCAUUUGUUCAGAGCGGCCUUCUGUUUCUGUCUUUUACCCUGAUCAGAACAGCUAAAUGGUUUUCUUCUUGCUUGCCUCUCCUUUUGUUGCUCUGAGUUGUUCAUGUGACCAGAUGCUUUAACAGAUUUAGA